AAGUCGUAACAAGGUUUCCGUAGGUGAACCUGCGGAAGGAUCAUUAACACGUAUCCACGUCACCUGUUGACAUACACCAAACCUAUUGUUUAUAUAGUAUUUGGAACUGGUCGCUAUGCACUCGUUUGCAUAGAUGUACUGGAACCGGUACUCGUGCACUAUAUUUUUUUUUCCCAUUCCCUCAUAUAACUACGCCUUGACUCAAUUGUAGUAGGUCUGGUCUUCGUGACUGGUCUAGUACACGUUUGCUUCUGUUUUUUCGAAAACGGAUUCAAAUGCCUAAUCAAAUGGACUGAUGCAAAGCAUCUGAUAUAUGAACUUGUUUCAUGUAUUAGAAUGUGAUGACAUUUGUAUAUAUUCAAUAUAUAUGAUCUAAUCACAACUCUUAGCAAUGGAUACCUAGGUUCUC
Molecule: unclassified non-coding RNA, 409 nt
Filed under: fungal sp.
Lineage: Eukaryota; Fungi
Description: partial internal transcribed spacer region
Rfam family: Eukaryotic small subunit ribosomal RNA (bases 1-46)
Source: RNAcentral